AAAGGUUUAGUUAAACUAUAACAAUAACUUGUCAAGUUACAAUCACCCAAAAGGUAGCCUUUA
Molecule: transfer RNA, 63 nt
Filed under: Hemisodorcus macleayii
Lineage: Eukaryota; Metazoa; Arthropoda; Insecta; Coleoptera; Lucanidae
Description: tRNA-Asp
Source: RNAcentral